RNAcentral lists this ribosomal RNA (484 nucleotides) under uncultured bacterium. RNAcentral describes it as "partial 16S ribosomal RNA". It matches the Rfam family "Bacterial small subunit ribosomal RNA", at positions 30 to 507 of the family's 1533-position model. The record is from RNAcentral.
AUUGAACGCUGGCGGAAUGCUUUACACAUGCAAGUCGAACGGCAGCACGGGGGCAGCCCUGGUGGCGAGUGGCGAACGGGUGAGCAAUACAUCGGAACGUGCCCGGUCGUGGGGGAUAACGUAGCGAAAGUUACGCUAAUACCGCAUACGAUCUGAGGAUGAAAGCGGGGGACCUUCGGGCCUCGCGCGAUCGGAGCGGCCGAUGUCAGAUUAGGUAGUUGGUGGGGUAAAGGCCUACCAAGCCGACGAUCUGUAGCUGGUCUGAGAGGACGACCAGCCACACUGGGACUGAGACACGGCCCAGACUCCUACGGGAGGCAGCAGUGGGGAAUUUUGGACAAUGGGCGCAAGCCUGAUCCAGCCAUUCCGCGUGCAGGACGAAGGCCUUCGGGUUGUAAACUGCUUUUGUACGGAACGAAAAGGCUCUGGCUAAUACCUGGGGCUCAUGACGGUACCGUAAGAAUAAGCACCGGCUAACUACGUG